This 166-nucleotide unclassified non-coding RNA is filed under the name uncultured fungus. RNAcentral describes it as "sequence contains ITS1, 5.8S rRNA gene". Lineage: Eukaryota; Fungi. The record is from RNAcentral.
CCGAGUUUUCAACUCCCAAACCCCCUGUGAACUUAUACCUGUUCGUUGCCUCGGCGGGCUCGCCCCCGGCCGCCCUCGGGCGGUCAGGAACCAGGCGCCCGCCGGAGGAACCACCAAACUCUAUAUUUUUCAGGCGUCGUCUGAGUGUAACAUAACAAAUGAAUCA